AAAACCUCAGCAUUGCCCUCCGUGUCAAACUGGUGGAACACCAUCAACAGCCUCUACAUAGCCAAGACUCCGGCCGCCAAGAAGACCCGCAUCCUGCUUUCUCACCAAGUCUCCGACGAGGCCUGCUCCAUGGGAAAAUCCCUCAAGAGGGCCGAUAUUUCAAAGAUAGCAGCCAAGGCCGGCGGAAAGAAGGGUGGCAUCGCUCUAGUUCUGACUGCCGACGACGUUGCCGUGGAGGGGUUUUGCAUGAGCAGUUGUGGUUCCCACGGGUCGAACGCCAAGACUGGCUCCGCGUAUAUCUGGGUGGGUAACUCGGCGACUCAGUGCCCAGGGCAAUGCGCAUGGCCCUUCCACCAGCCCAUAUACGGGCCGCAGAGUCCGGCGCUGGUGGCUCCAAACGGGGACGUUGGGGUUGACGGCAUGGUGAUCAAUCUGGCAGGCAUGCUGGCCGGAGCAGUGACUAACCCUUUUGGAAAUGGGUUCUACCAAGGGCCCAAGGAAGCCCCCUUGGAAGCGGCCACAGCUUGCACCGGGGUUUACGG
RNAcentral lists this unclassified non-coding RNA (542 nucleotides) under Hevea brasiliensis (rubber tree). Lineage: Eukaryota; Viridiplantae; Streptophyta; Magnoliopsida; Malpighiales; Euphorbiaceae. The record is from RNAcentral.